AGAGUUUGAUCAUGGCUCAGAAUCAACGCUGGCGGCGUGCCUAACACAUGCAAGUCGAACGCGAGAGAGGCUUCGGCCUCAAUUGAGUGGCAAACGGGUGAGUAACACGUGGGUGACCUACCUUCGAGUGGGGGAUAACGUCCCGAAAGGGACGCUAAUACCGCAUAACAUCCUGUCCUUGAACGGAUGGAGAUCAAAGCCGGGGAUCGCAAGACCCGGCGCUUGAUGAGGGGCCCGCGUCCGAUUAGCUAGUUGGUGAGGUAACGGCUCACCAAGGCAACGAUCGGUAGCCGGCCUGAGAGGGCGGACGGCCACACUGGGACUGAGACACGGCCCAGACUCCUACGGGAGGCAGCAGUGGGGAAUUGUUCACAAUGGGCGCAAGCCUGAUGACGCAACGCCGCGUGGAGGAUGAAGGUCUUCGGAUUGUAAACUCCUGUUGCCCGGGACGAAUGGCUCCAACCUAAUACGUUGGAGUGUAACGGUACCGGGUGAGGAAGCCCCGGCUAACUCUGUGCCAGCAGCCGCGGUAAUACAGAGGGGGCAAGCGUUGUUCGGAAUUACUGGGCGUAAAGGGCGCGUAGGCGGCCUGCUAAGUCGAACGUGAAAUCCCCGAGCUCAACUCGGGAACUGCGUCCGAUACUGGCAGGCUUGAAUCCGGGAGAGGGAUGCGGAAUUCCAGGUGUAGCGGUGAAAUGCGUAGAUAUCUGGAGGAACACCGGUGGCGAAAGCGGCAUCCUGGACCGGCAUUGACGCUGAGGCGCGAAAGCCAGGGGAGCAAACGGGAUUAGAUACCCCGGUAGUCCUGGCCCUAAACGAUGAAUGCUUGGUGUGGCGGGUAUCGAUCCCUGCCGCGCCGAAGCUAACGCAUUAAGCAUUCCGCCUGGGGAGUACGGUCGCAAGGCUGAAACUCAAGGAAUUGACGGGGGCCCGCACAGCGGUGGAGCAUGUGGUUUAUCGACGCACGCGAAGAACCUUACCCAGGCUUGAACUGCAGGUGAACACUCUAC
Molecule: ribosomal RNA, 1010 nt
Filed under: uncultured bacterium
Lineage: Bacteria
Description: bacterial SSU rRNA
Rfam family: Bacterial small subunit ribosomal RNA
Source: RNAcentral